This 542-nucleotide ribosomal RNA is filed under the name Bifidobacterium bifidum. RNAcentral describes it as "bacterial SSU rRNA". It matches the Rfam family "Bacterial small subunit ribosomal RNA", at positions 158 to 711 of the family's 1533-position model. Lineage: Bacteria; Bacillati; Actinomycetota; Actinomycetes; Bifidobacteriales; Bifidobacteriaceae. The record is from RNAcentral.
GGGUGGUAAUGCCGGAUGUUCCACAUGAUCGCAUGUGAUUGUGGGAAAGAUUCUAUCGGCGUGGGAUGGGGUCGCGUCCUAUCAGCUUGUUGGUGAGGUAACGGCUCACCAAGGCUUCGACGGGUAGCCGGCCUGAGAGGGCGACCGGCCACAUUGGGACUGAGAUACGGCCCAGACUCCUACGGGAGGCAGCAGUGGGGAAUAUUGCACAAUGGGCGCAAGCCUGAUGCAGCGACGCCGCGUGAGGGAUGGAGGCCUUCGGGUUGUAAACCUCUUUUGUUUGGGAGCAAGCCUUCGGGUGAGUGUACCUUUCGAAUAAGCGCCGGCUAACUACGUGCCAGCAGCCGCGGUAAUACGUAGGGCGCAAGCGUUAUCCGGAUUUAUUGGGCGUAAAGGGCUCGUAGGCGGCUCGUCGCGUCCGGUGUGAAAGUCCAUCGCUUAACGGUGGAUCUGCGCCGGGUACGGGCGGGCUGGAGUGCGGUAGGGGAGACUGGAAUUCCCGGUGUAACGGUGGAAUGUGUAGAUAUCGGAAAGAAACACCA